Molecule: unclassified non-coding RNA, 321 nt
Filed under: soil metagenome
Description: partial contains 5.8S ribosomal RNA, internal transcribed spacer 2, and large subunit ribosomal RNA
Rfam family: 5.8S ribosomal RNA (bases 1-120)
Source: RNAcentral
GAUGAGGAACGCAGCGAAAUGCGAUAAGUAAUGUGAAUUGCAGAAUUCAGUGAAUCAUCGAAUCUUUGAACGCACAUUGCGCCCUUUGGCAUUCCGAAGGGCACACCUGUCCGAGCGCCGUCGCACAACUGAGGCGCAGCCUUGCGUUGGCGGGCGACUUGUGAGUAGCGAGUCGCCGCCCAAACGAGACGGCGCCGCGCCGCGGCCGACGAAGCACGAAAGCGGAAGUCGACGCGGAGGCGGUUGCCUGUAGGAAGACACAGCUUGGCCUCGGAUCAGGUGGGGAUACCCGCUGAACUUAAGCAUAUCAUAAGCGGAGGA